GAUGAACGCUGGCGGCGUGCCUAAUACAUGCAAGUCGAGCGAACGGACGAGAAGCUUUCUUCUCUGAUGUUAGCGGCGGACGGGUGAGUAACACGUGGAUAACCUACCUAUAAGACUGGGAUAACUUCGGGAAACCGGAGCUAAUACCGGAUAAUAUUUUGAACCGCAUGGUUCAAAAGUGAAAGACGGUCUUUCUGUCACUUAUAGAUGGAUCCGCGCUGCAUUAGCUAGUUGGUAAGGUAACGGCUUACCAAGGCAACGAUGCAUAGCCGACCUGAGAGGGGGAUCGGCCACACUGGAACUGAGACACGGUACAGACUACUACGGGAGGAAGCAGUAGGGAAUAUUCCGGAAUGGGCAAAAGCAUGACGGAGCAACGCCGCGUGAGUGAUGAAGGUCUUCGGAUCGUAAAACUCUGUUAUUAGGGAAGAAAAUAUGUGUAAGUAAAUGUGCACAUAUUGACGGUACCUAAUCAGAAAGCCACGGCUAACUACGUG
Molecule: ribosomal RNA, 497 nt
Filed under: uncultured bacterium
Lineage: Bacteria
Description: partial 16S ribosomal RNA
Rfam family: Bacterial small subunit ribosomal RNA
Source: RNAcentral